This 85-nucleotide transfer RNA is filed under the name Hyphomonas sp. RNAcentral describes it as "tRNA-Tyr". It matches the Rfam family "tRNA". Rfam says of the family: Transfer RNA (tRNA) molecules are approximately 80 nucleotides in length. RNAcentral also lists the same sequence under 9 other names. Lineage: Bacteria; Pseudomonadati; Pseudomonadota; Alphaproteobacteria; Hyphomonadales; Hyphomonadaceae. The record is from RNAcentral.
GGAGGGAUGGGAGAGUGGUUAAAUCCAUCAGACUGUAAAUCUGACCGCCUAGCGUACGCUGGUUCGAAUCCAGCUCCCUCCACCA